UUAGCGGCGGACGGGUGAGUAACACGUGGGUAACCUGCCCAUAAGACUGGGAUAACUCCGGGAAACCGGGGCUAAUACCGGAUAAUAUUUUGAACUGCAUGGUUCGAAAUUGAAAGGCGGCUUCGGCUGUCACUUAUGGAUGGACCCGCGUCGCAUUAGCUAGUUGGUGAGGUAACGGCUCACCAAGGCAACGAUGCGUAGCCGACCUGAGAGGGUGAUCGGCCACACUGGGACUGAGACACGGCCCAGACUCCUACGGGAGGCAGCAGUAGGGAAUCUUCCGCAAUGGACGAAAGUCUGACGGAGCAACGCCGCGUGAGUGAUGAAGGCUUUCGGGUCGUAAAACUCUGUUGUUAGGGAAGAACAAGUGCUAGUUGAAUAAGCUGGCACCUUGACGGUACCUAACCAGAAAGCCACGGCUAACUACGUGCCAGCAGCCGCGGUAAUACGUAGGUGGCAAGCGUUAUCCGGAAUUAUUGGGCGUAAAGCGCGCGCAGGUGGUUUCUUAAGUCUGAUGUGAAAGCCCACGGCUCAACCGUGGAGGGUCAUUGGAAACUGGGAGACUUGAGUGCAGAAGAGGAAAGUGGAAUUCCAUGUGUAGCGGUGAAAUGCGUAGAGA
Molecule: ribosomal RNA, 619 nt
Filed under: Bacillus cereus
Lineage: Bacteria; Bacillati; Bacillota; Bacilli; Caryophanales; Bacillaceae
Description: bacterial SSU rRNA
Rfam family: Bacterial small subunit ribosomal RNA
Source: RNAcentral